Molecule: ribosomal RNA, 252 nt
Filed under: uncultured bacterium
Lineage: Bacteria
Description: partial 16S ribosomal RNA
Rfam family: Bacterial small subunit ribosomal RNA
Source: RNAcentral
UACGGAGGAUGCGAGCGUUAUCCGGAUUUAUUGGGUUUAAAGGGUGCGUAGGCGGCCUGCCAAGUCCGCGGUAAAAUUGCGGGGCUCAACCCCGUACAGCCGUUGAAACUGCCGGGCUCGAGUGGGCGAGAAGUAUGCGGAAUGCGUGGUGUAGCGGUGAAAUGCAUAGAUAUCACGCAGAACCCCGAUUGCGAAGGCAGCAUACCGGCGCCCGACUGACGCUGAGGCACGAAAGUGCGGGGAUCAAACAGG